RNAcentral lists this long non-coding RNA (1354 nucleotides) under Salmo salar (Atlantic salmon). Its description in RNAcentral is "lncRNA (ENSSSAG00000120904.1)". Lineage: Eukaryota; Metazoa; Chordata; Actinopteri; Salmoniformes; Salmonidae. The record is from RNAcentral.
GGAGAUCAUUAUACAUGACCUGUUCUAAAUACACGGCGAGAAAUGACCGCUUCAACUUUUCCAAUUGUAACUUUAUGAGUUCUGUGGUACAAAGGAGUCAGGACUUUUCGCUGUGAACUGACAUUCAGCACAGAGUGUAUUCGUGCCUAAAGCACCGUGACAAUUAUUGGAACACUAAAACAGCCUACUAUUAAAAAACAAACAAAUAUUACAAACUAUUUUAGUGCAGUGUGUCUGGACACCCACCUGCUGCUGGUGCUGGUGAUGAUGGUAGUAUGCCGCGUUGUAGGCUGCUGCCGCUGCUGCUGAAGACGCAGGGACAUAGUGAGCUCCAUAACUCUGGUAAAACAUCACAUCUAGACAACUCAUGGCUGAGACGGGGCUGUCAGGGGCUCAGAGAGAAACAGCCUGGAUCAGCGCUCAUCAAACGGAUGUAAUCCUCACAUCCACCGCUGCCUCCAUAUAAACCAUGACUGUGACAAUAGGCAUGCUGUCGGUGAAAGGAGCUGUUUGCAUAAAGACAAUACCGAAUCACUAGGACCAACACCUCAUACUGUGCCAAACCAAACCCAAGUGAAAGUGAACAAAAGGUACCGGACAAACUCCACUUGGCCAAGUUAUUAGACGCUACACUGAUUGGAGGAAAGUUUUAACGGUACUGUAUAUGGAGGGAGAGGAGGGAUAGGACUCUGCGUGCACACGCCCAUGGAACUCAUACACGCGGCUCGAAGUAGAGAGGCAUGAUGAGUGUAGCUGCCACUUGAAGAUUCAAUCAAUCAAUCAAUCACAAUAAUCAAUAAAUCCCGUUUUACAUCAGCAGUUGUCACAACGUGCUCUACAGAUACCAAGCAUAAAACCUCAAGACUUGGCCUCGAGGUUCAGUGAAUUGUAAUUAGUAAUGACGAUGGGUCUGGGAACUGCUACAGGCUCUCAUGCCUCAACCAGAUCACCAGGCUCCCCUGCCUCAGCCGGCACGUCAGGCUCUCCUGCCUCUACCGAUCUGUCAGGUUCCCGCACCCCAGCUGACACGACAGGUUCCAGUACCUCAGCUGGCGUGACAGGUUCUCGCGCAUCAGCAGGGGUGACCGGUCCGCUCCUGAUCCCCCGGGUUCGUCCCCUUUGACGGCAUCCUGCGGCUGGAGCCGCGCCUCAGGGAGGGGGUACUGUCACGUAUACUCCCUCUCCGGCCUCUAGGUCAUCAGGCUGCUGAUUAUCCUGUACACCUGUCACCAUCGUCUUGCACACCUGCGCCUCAUGACACUCACCUGGACUCCAUCACCUCCCUGAUUAUCUUCCCUAUAUCUGUCACUCCCCUUGGUUCUUUCCUCAGGUGUUAUUGACUCUGUUUCAUGUC